UAGGGAAUCUUCCACAAUGGACGAAAGUCUGAUGGAGCAACGCCGCGUGAGCGAUGAAGGCCUUCGGGUCGUAAAGCUCUGUUGUUAGGGAAGAACAAGUACCGGAGUAACUGCCGGUACCUUGACGGUACCUAACCAGAAAGCCACGGCUAACUACGUGCCAGCAGCCGCGGUAAUACGUAGGUGGCAAGCGUUGUCCGGAAUUAUUGGGCGUAAAGCGCGCGCAGGCGGUCCUUUAAGUCUGAUGUGAAAGCCCACGGCUCAACCGUGGAGGGUCAUUGGAAACUGGGGGACUUGAGUGCAGAAGAGGAAAGCGGAAUUCCACGUGUAGCGGUGAAAUGCGUAGAGAUGUGGAGGAACACCAGUGGCGAAGGCGGCUUUCUGGUCUGUAACUGACGCUGAGGCGCGAAAGCGUGGGGAGCAAACAGGAUUAGAUACCCUGGUAGUCCACGCCGUAAACGAUGAGUGCUAAGUGUUAGAGGGUUUCCGCCCUUUAGUGCUGCAG
Molecule: ribosomal RNA, 505 nt
Filed under: uncultured Bacillota bacterium
Lineage: Bacteria; Bacillati; Bacillota
Description: bacterial SSU rRNA
Rfam family: Bacterial small subunit ribosomal RNA
Source: RNAcentral